This 1149-nucleotide long non-coding RNA is filed under the name Fragaria vesca (wild strawberry). RNAcentral describes it as "long non-coding RNA (FVES_LNC004974)". The record is from RNAcentral. Lineage: Eukaryota; Viridiplantae; Streptophyta; Magnoliopsida; Rosales; Rosaceae.
UUCUUGUUUAAUCUCUACGCAACGUGUCUUUAAAUGAGUUAGCAUUCAUGUUUAGGAUCAAGCGCAAAGAUGGUUCUAAAUACUUGAGGAGUCUUAACAAUUAGAUAACCGCAAAGGCUCUAAUUAGAAUCGGAAUUGGUUAGAGUCUAGGAUAAUUUGAACGUUGCUGCCCGGCCUUACAUGAAGUUGUUAUGUGUUCUUGAUGGUUUUUCGUGUUAUGUGUUGCAUGAGUAUGUUGAUCAUUUGUAUAUAAUAAUCUUAGGUUUAAUUUUCAGUAGGUUAUUUGUUAGAAUUAAUCAAUCUUAAACCCCCAAUAUUUCAAUAUAUAUGUGAAUAUUUGUUUAUAAGUUGUUUGGUUUAUCUUCUUUCGAUCGCCCUUUGGUUUCCCCGGCUAGAACGAUCCCUACUUGUCCAUAUUACUACGAUUGCAGGGUAAUUAAAUUGAAGUUGUUUGACCCCGGUUACGCGACACGUCACGGACGACGUCCGCACUUUAAGCCGGAGUGCGGACGUCCUCUUCACAUCCUCUCUGUUUAAAGGAAAUCAACAAACUAAAUAAGUAAAAUUAACUUUGACUACUAUUGUCAUUUUGUAAGUCCGAUCCUCUUCAAUCUCGUUCUAUAGUUGAUCUAUUGUAAUAAACUACAUUAUUUAAAUGAAGAACUUUUUUUAUAUUGGUUAAAACCUAUAACUAUUGCAUUACUCAUCCCGAUCUUGUGUAUUUUUUGUCAUAAUAAUCUACAUUUUUUGAAUAAGUUAUAUAAGUUUAUGUAUAUGCAUUUUUUCUAGUAUAUUGUGCAUAAAUUUAAUUAUAUACUAGUAUGUGUACUAUAAAAUAGUCUUAUUACCCAAAAAAAAAAAAACCAUAUGAUAGUCUACUAAGUCUAGUAUUUCAACAUUAAAAAUAUUAUAAUUGAAUGGAUAAUUUUAGGGCCAAUGAUAAAAUGGUACAUUUAGAAGUAAUAAAUGAUAAAACUGUUAACAAAUGUUCCUUGAUGAUAAAACAAUACACCCAUUUAAAUUCUUUAAACCGUUGCCCAUAAAUUUUAAAAAUAUUACAUAUCAUGCCAUUAACAAAAUAAUAACAUAUUAACCAUUAUAUAUCUCUCUCACUCACUCUCAACUCAUCUCCCUCACUCUCUCUCUCUC